Orcinus orca (killer whale) is the source of this 187-nucleotide long non-coding RNA. RefSeq lists it as uncharacterized. The transcript is spliced from 3 exons. NCBI's taxonomy places the organism in Eukaryota, Metazoa, Chordata, Mammalia, Artiodactyla, Delphinidae. The record is from RefSeq and is a predicted model, not a curated record.
CAGAGAUUGGAGUGAUGAAUCUACAAGCUCAGGGACGCUAAGGAUUGCUGGCUACCGUUAGAAGGCCAACACUGGGACUUAGUUCUAGUGGUCAGCAGCUGACACGAGAUGAACUCAUGGAGUGGAAGAGGCAGCCUCUCGGCCUCUACCCUGGACCACAUCAGCAAAAUCACUCUGAUCAUGUGAC